UUUCCUUUUUCGCGUGGAGUAGAAGUGUGUAUUGUUUUCUCGAAAUGUACAAGAGGAAUACAAGAGGACUCGAGGAGAAAGACACAAAUCCGUAAUUCCGGAUCUCAUCUACACACACCAUCGCCCCCCAUCAAAACCCGCCGUCGUGGUUGCGGAGCGGAGAUGAGGUGCUACACGGCGGCGGCGGCAACGCUGCUGCUUCUGCUGGUGCCGCUGGCGGCGGCGGAGGCGGCGAUUGCGUCGUACAGGGAGAGGACGGAGGAGGAGAUGCGGCGGGUGUUCGUGGAGUGGAUGGCAAAGCACGGGAUGGCGUACGGCUCCGCCGUCGAGGAGGAGCGCCGGUACGCUAUUUUCAAGGACAAGCUCCGCACCGUCGACCGGCACAACGCCGGCGCCGAUGCCGGGAUCCACCCGUACCGCCUCGGCCUCAACUCGUUCUCCGACCGCACCAGCGCGGAGAUAUAUAGCCGUGUCAUUCCAUAGCCCGAGAACCAAAAUAAAGUCUGGAGGUAGCACCCGUCCUGGAGAGACAAAGCACAGCUGGAGGAAGCCUUAUGUCGCUUGGUAAAGUUGGCGCUCAAAGAAUGGUACUAUGAAGUUCUGGUGGGCUAGUGCUUCAAGCGUCAGCAUAUGAGUUCUUUUACAUUGUGAUCUGGAAGCCAUUUCGGUACAAAGUUGCACCCUCCAUUCUCAAUGUUGUUGAGGCCACCGGCGACGGCGUCUUCAGUUGGAACUUGCAGAUAUUACGCCACACAAUCAGCAUAUGCUACACACUCUUCAAACUUGAAACUGUUGGUGUUUGGGCGCCUAACAAAUGCAUGGUGUUUACUUGGCUCGCUGCUCAAGACCGGUGCAGGUGCAAUCAGAGCGUCUGCCUCCCUUUGUGACCAGGCCGACAAGGCAUUAUCGCGUCUCCGGUCUUGCAGGGUCUCCUCUCUGCAGCAGAUCGCCCCACUGCCGGAUGAGGUCUACCAGAGACCGCAGCUGAACGCACCGGUGCCAACAUGCUCGCCAAUUAUCCUAACUGUUGGAAACACCAUAAUAAUUGCCUUUUUGCCGCCGUCUCUUUUGUUUCCUUCGCUGCUAUGUGGCAAAUCUCGGCCAGCUUCUAAUUUGUACUUUCUUUGCAUAUGUAUAGUAUAUGCUGUUACGAUACUAAAUUCAGUUAUAAGACCAUUGCAUUUCGUUGUUUUA
Hordeum vulgare subsp. vulgare (domesticated barley) is the source of this 1194-nucleotide RNA transcript. It is a transcript of the gene named oryzain alpha chain-like, with no coding region annotated. The transcript is spliced from 4 exons. Lineage: Eukaryota; Viridiplantae; Streptophyta; Magnoliopsida; Poales; Poaceae. The record is from RefSeq and is a predicted model, not a curated record.